UACGUAGGGCGCAAGCGUUGUCCGGAAUUAUUGGGCGUAAAGAGCUCGUAGGCGGUUUGUCACGUCGGAUGUGAAAGCCCGGGGCUUAACCCCGGGUCUGCAUUCGAUACGGGCAGACUGGAGUGUGGUAGGGUAAACGGAAUUCCACGUGUAGCGGUGAAAUGCGUAGAUAUGUGGAAGAACACCGGUGGUGAAAACGGUUUACUGGGCUGAAACUGACGCUGAGGAGCGAAAGCGUGGGGAGCGAACAGG
This 252-nucleotide ribosomal RNA is filed under the name uncultured bacterium. RNAcentral describes it as "partial 16S ribosomal RNA". It matches the Rfam family "Bacterial small subunit ribosomal RNA", at positions 524 to 776 of the family's 1533-position model. The record is from RNAcentral.